CGUAGGGCUAAUUCGUAUAAAGCUAUUGAGCCAGCCCAACCAGAAACUAAAGUUAUGUGCAUUAUAUGCAUCGCAAGCAAUCGACCCAGAUCAUUCAAGAAAGCUGCAUAA
RNAcentral lists this ribosomal RNA (111 nucleotides) under Triticum aestivum (bread wheat). RNAcentral describes it as "partial small subunit ribosomal RNA". The record is from RNAcentral. Lineage: Eukaryota; Viridiplantae; Streptophyta; Magnoliopsida; Poales; Poaceae.